This 305-nucleotide ribosomal RNA is filed under the name uncultured bacterium. Its description in RNAcentral is "bacterial SSU rRNA". It matches the Rfam family "Bacterial small subunit ribosomal RNA", at positions 338 to 640 of the family's 1533-position model. The record is from RNAcentral.
CCUACGGGAGGCAGCAGUGAGGAAUAUUGGUCAAUGGGCGAGAGCCUGAACCAGCCAAGUCGCGUGAGGGAAGACGGUCCUAUGGAUUGUAAACCUCUUUUGUCGGGGAGCAAAAAGGCCUCGUGAGGCCACAAGUGAGAGUACCCGAAGAAAAAGCAUCGGCUAACUCCGUGCCAGCAGCCGCGGUAAUACGGAGGAUGCGAGCGUUAUCCGGAUUUAUUGGGUUUAAAGGGUGCGCAGGCGGCGAGUUAAGUCAGCGGUAAAAUUUCGGGGCUCAACCCCGACAAGCCGUUGAAACUGGCUUG